This 208-nucleotide ribosomal RNA is filed under the name uncultured bacterium. Its description in RNAcentral is "partial 16S ribosomal RNA". It matches the Rfam family "Bacterial small subunit ribosomal RNA", at positions 568 to 774 of the family's 1533-position model. The record is from RNAcentral.
CACGUAGGCGGAUCGUUAAGUCGGGGGUGAAAUCCUGAGGCUCAACCUCGGAACUGCCUUCGAUACUGGCGAUCUUUGAGUCCGGGAGAGGUGAGUGGAACUCCGAGUGUAGAGGUGAAAUUCGUAGAUAUUCGGAAGAACACCAGUGGCGAAGGCGGCUCACUGGCCCGGUACUGACGCUGAGGUGCGAAAGCGUGGGGAGCAAACA